Molecule: ribosomal RNA, 1011 nt
Filed under: Triticum aestivum (bread wheat)
Lineage: Eukaryota; Viridiplantae; Streptophyta; Magnoliopsida; Poales; Poaceae
Description: partial small subunit ribosomal RNA
Source: RNAcentral
AUGCUGCUGCGUUGCGCGCCUGCUAUAUGUUUGCAACGCCGCACCUAUACCAUGUAUUCUCAGCCUAGCCAGUUACAAGGAGGAUUGUCACAGAGCAUGGCCUUAUGGAAGCAUUCUCGCUCACAUGCAGUCAGUUAUCAAACAAAAAUGGGUUUAGUUAGUCUUUCUCCUAAGAGCACAACAUCAUCUCAUCUGCAAAAUGGGACAUGCUUUGCCUGCUUGGAGCAACAGUCUAAACACGGAUUAUCAGCGAGAGAUCGUAUCCUACAUGCUAAGCUUGAUAUGGCCUCACAUCACGGGUUUUCUAGUAUUAGCUGGAAGUCGAGAACGACGAGAAGUUUAGCACAAAAAAUAGGGGGUACAGGCGCUGGACUUUCCUUGAGUUUCACAGUUGCUGGGAUAGCAAAUGCUGGGGGUCCGGUGGAUAAUGACAUUGAUUCCAAAUCAUCCUCUAGUUGUGCUCAUGGGAAGAAAGUUUACACAGAGUAUUCUGUCACCGGCAUUCCUGGGGAUGGUAGAUGCUUGUUCCGUUCUGUGGCUCAUGGUGAGUGCAUUAGGUCAGGGAAACCCAUACCUAGUGAGAAUCUUCAAAGGAAGCUCGCUGAUGAUUUAAGAACACUGGUUGCUGAUGAGUUUAUCAAGAGAAGGACAGAGACUGAAUGGUUUAUUGAGGGUGAUUUCGAUACAUAUGUCUCUCAGAUAAGGAAGCCACAUGUGUGGGGAGGAGAGCCAGAAUUGCUCAUGGCUUCUCACGUUCUUCAGUUUAAUUUUAAAACUUGGCCCUUCUUUGCAACAGUGAGGUGCCAAAGCAGUAAGAAUAAACAUCAUUUCGUUUUCAGGAUGCCGAUCACUGUUUAUAUGCACGAAGAAGCAGCGGGUGGUUUGAUAGCGAUCGCGGAGUAUGGCCAAGAGUACGGGAAAGAAGACCCAAUCCAAGUCCUCUAUCAUGGCUGUGGCCACUAUGAAGCGCUGCAUAUACCAGGAAACGCCGAACCCAGGUCAAGACUGUAA